CACCAAUCUUGCAGCCGAAUUUCGGAAGCCCCCGUCGCUGCUGCGUCGCGGCAGAGGAAAAUCGUCCGCCCGCCGCGUGACGCCUCCCCCUCUCCCAAGUUCCUCCCCAUAAUCCUAGCCCCGGCCGCCAUCGCGCCGGCCAUGGCGGCGCCCCGCGAGCUGGACCUCUCCGACGAGGUCGAGGGCGUGAUGGACGGCACCAUCGACUUCGUCUUCCGCCUCGUCGGCGACCCCAUCCCCCUCCUACCCUCCGCCUCCGCCCCGCUCCCCCUCUUCGACCUCCAGUCCCCUCCCGCGCGCCCGCUCGCCGUCUCCGACCUCCACGCCGCCGUCUUCCUCGCUCACCCCAACGGGUUUAUCGCCGCGAGGACGAAGGCGUUGAUCGAGGCCAGCAAGGAGGCCAGGGAGAAGGGCAAGGCGAGCACCCGCUGCGCCCAGGACUGCUGCGUCACCGACGUGCCCCUCCCCGGCGUCACUCUCCUAGCGCUCUCCCGCGACCAGUCCGUGCUAGCUGCCUGCACGGGCAGUGAGAUCCAGUUCUUCUCGGCUACUUCCUUGCUCACUGAUAAGGAUAUCAAGCCGUCAUCAUCAUGUAGCAUGGGACGAUCUGGCACUGUCAAAGAUUUCAAAUGGCUAGAUAAUGCCUCUAUUGUACUCUCAAAUGGUGGAUUGCUAUCUCAUGGGAGUUUGGGGCAAGGCCUGAAGGAUGUUGAUGCUGUUGACUGUUCCAAGGACGGGAACCAUAUUGCUGUGGCAAGAAAGAAUUCACUCAGGAUAUUAACACCAGAUUUGAAGGAAACAUGUUGCAUGGCCCUCUUGUUUCAGUUGUGGCCUGAUAGUGAUUCAGAGGGCACUGACAUCAAAGUGGAUUCCAUUGGGUGGGUUCGCGAUGAUAGCAUUGUUGUCGGUUGUGUUCGAUUGAAUGAAGAAAGCAAUGAAGAGGAUUAUCUGGUAAAAGUUAUAAGAAGUGGAGGAGAUACAUUUUUCGAGAGCUCAAGCAAGCCAGUUGUUCUUAGGUGUGAUGUUUCCAGAGGCAUAAGGAAUGAUAUUUUACCAUCUGGAGUUGGACCAAAUCUGCUAUUGGGCUAUCUGCAUCGCUGGGAUCUCCUGGUUGUUACAAAUAAAAAGAGCACUGAUGACCACAUUUCUCUUUUGAAAUGGCCGUCCAGAACUGAUGAGGAAAGAACUGUGGUAUACCUCGAAAUGGUGGAGGAUAGAUAUAGUCCUAGAAUUGAUCUGCAAGAAAAUGACGAUGACAAUGUUAUAUUGGGGUUUGGUGUGGAGAAUGUUUCAUUAUUUCAGAAGAUCACAGUACUGGUUGGACCUGAACAGAAGGAGGUUGCCCCUCAACAUCUUCUACUUUGUUUGACUAGUGAAGGGAAACUAAUUAUUUAUUAUCUUGCCAGGAUUUCUGACCCUUCCGAUUUACCUCAAACAAGUCUGUCUACCAUUGAGGAUAGUAAUGUGGAUAAACAAAUUUCUCCUGCAACUGUGUCUAAUAAGGAUCUGACUCCAAGUGUUACAAGUUCAAGCGCCAAGAGUCUGCUCGCAAGACCAGGGACGAUGGCCACGCACGACAGCAGCAAGGCGAAGAAAACAAGACCGGAGGAAUCUUGUAGAAAAUUGUUAAGCGCCGUCCUGGAAAAAUACAAUGUUGAGUGUGAAAAUUACGAUGAUGACCUCAUUAUCUAUUCUAAAGACUCUGAUGUUAUAUUGAGAAUUGAGAAGACGCUGAGUGCACCUCCUGAUUGCGAUAAACCAACCGACUACAACAAAUUGAUCGAAGAGCUGCAAACGGUAACCAAGAGAAUGGUUGCACGGAAAUAUGCACGUGAGAGAGAUGUUCUGGUGAAGAAUUUGCUGUUGGCAAUAGAUAAGAUCUCUCACUUUGAGUCAGAUAUACCGUUUGUCGACAAGCAAAAUAAGGAUGCAGCUUUGCAAGCAAAAGACUGGCUUUUGAACAAGCAGAGGGAGCAGAAGUCGGUCUCAAUAUAUGAAGAUGCUGUCCUAAAGUGUACUGCUUUAGACAACUGGAUUAAGAGGCUAGAAUUAGAUCAAACAACUGAAGGGUCAUUACUACAGGAUUCUUCGACGUCUUCAAGUGGAUACGAGGAGUUGCCAGAGGGGAGUUCGGUUGAGGAACAAACGAAUAAAUUUCCCCCAAGAUCAGUUCCUACAGGGGAGACUCUUCUUGAAAUUUUUAGAGUAGAGACAAACUUGGCCUUGAUAAAGACCAUCCUGGUCUAUGAUUAUAAAGGUGCUGCAUUAGUCUAUAAAUCUAAGCAAGGGGAUAAGAGCCGAUUUCGUAGAAGGUGUUCCAAUUGGCUGUCAAAACAUACCAAGAAAACCCGUUCUGAUUUCAUAGAUUCGCUCACUCUCACAGGCCCGACUCGGCCAAUGACUGCUGACGGAGAGUGCUGGGUCAUUAAACUCGACGUGCCGGCUGAGUCAAGUUUUGGGGUCGAGGACCCUGAAUUGUGUGACAAACUUUUCAAAGCAACAUUGCCACUGAGUUCUGAUUACAUUGACAGGCCCCGAUGCAGCUUAUUGUCUAUCCGAGGUGGAGUUGUAAAUAUCUCGUCCAUUACAUUUAGCAACGCCCUUCGUUGCACUGUCAGGUUUAUUCUUGAUCGUCGUGUCGAUGUCAGUGCUAAACAGUUUUAUAUCCGAGGUGAACUUACAUUGUCAGUUGAAGACUAUGAUGUGAAGUUCACGCUUUUUAGAAGUCAAUUCCCAAAAGUCACUGCACGCAUUCUUAGUGAGACAAAGGUUGAAAUUCCAUUACUUAGGGAUGUCCUCUCCCUUCCUGUUGGAGCCCGGGUGCAUGUAGGGGGUAUUCUGAAAUUGAGAAGAGGGAAAGUGCUUGUUGAUGACCAUCUUAUCCUUGACAAGGAGACAGUAGAGGCUGAAUGGCCUGUGAUUCCAUUGAAUGGGGUUGCUUCUCCUAGUCACCUGAAGGCUUGCUUAUCGAUUGCAUUAUGUGACUACAUCUAGUCCACACAGCUCACAAGGGCACAUAAUUAUAGCAGCAUGAAUAUUUCUGCAAGCUAUACAUACUUAUCAGUUGAAGCAUCUAACGCGAGUUAUAUUUUGAUAUUUCUUACACAUGCAGGUAUGAUGACGAGACUGUUAAGGUUAUUGGUAGCUGGGGUGAUGUGGUCAUUCUGUGUAAGAGAAGUGGUCAUCCGAGCGUUUGCUAAAAGGAGAGAAGUGGUGAUAUAUAUUUUCCUUUUGAACUUUGGAUAUAUAGCCUGACCCCAUAUCCUGUCGAAUGCGAUUUUGCCGUGGACUGUAAGCGGGGAUAACUCUAGUAGAUCAUGUGCCGCUCCAGAGAAAUUACUCACGACUGCUGCUAAAUAUGCUGGGAGCCUAUCAAUAUAUACGGUUUUUCUGUGCUUACGGUGUGGGGGAAUGUUGUAUUGUGUUGUGUGUGACCAAUGGAUGGGUAUCAUCAACGGAGAAGGGCUGUUCUCAUUUUUGUUUCUUAUCAUUUCGAUUGACAUGAUAUCUCAGAAUGUUGGGUAUCUCAGAAUGUUGUGAAGUCCCUUUGCGCUGGCCAUGAUGAGCGCAGAAAGUUAUUUCUCCUGCU
RNA transcript from Aegilops tauschii subsp. strangulata, 3589 nucleotides. RefSeq lists it as uncharacterized. The record is from RefSeq and is a predicted model, not a curated record. NCBI's taxonomy places the organism in Eukaryota, Viridiplantae, Streptophyta, Magnoliopsida, Poales, Poaceae.